UGUAACCAAUGGGGACGGGACUUUGGAGAAGAGGGCGGGGCGUCGGAAUAAAGAGGCGUGGCCUCACCAAUGGGGGCGGGGCGUGGGGAAAUGGAGGUAUGGUGUAACCAAUGAAAAAGAGGCGUCUGGGAAAGGGGCGUGGCUUAAGGAAAAAGCCGCGAGCUUCCGGAAAGGGGGCGGGGCAUCAAAAGGGGGCGUGUCCUCAAGGAAAGGGGGCGGGCUGUCAGCAAAAAGGGGCGGGGUUUCAAGCGGGGGCGUGGCUUCGGGGCGGGCAGCAGUGGAUGGGGGCGUGGUUUCGGCAUAGGUAGGCGUGGCUUCGAUACAAAGGGGGCGUGACCUCGGCACGACUUUGCCAAUAGGAAGCGAGGGGGCGCGAAGGGGGCGUGGCUUUGGGGAGGGGCUGCCACUGGGAUAAGGGAGUGGGCGUGGCCAAACGUAUCCCCGCCCCUCCUCCCCCUAAGUGGGCGGGGCUUGGCGCUUUCCUGCUCUCCGAUAGGCUUCCCGCGGUGCUGGGGGGCGGGCGGUGGGGCUGAGCCCUGCCCCACACCUUGGCAGCGAUCAUGUAGGGCGGCACGAUGUCGAUGUUCAUCUCCUGGAACAGCUCCCUGCACUGCAUGGAGAUGAAAUCCCCGGCCAACGGCGACUUCACGAUCCCUACGGGGACAACGGAGGAAGAAAGCUGGGAUGUUGUAGUGCUCGAACAUCAGCUCCGUCAGCUUCUCCCUCUUGGCCCUCGUGUUCCACUAUGGGGCAGGAGGUACAGCGUGUGGGGUUUGGGGGACGGGCGCAAUGUGUGGGGCGGGGUUGUGGGGUGAUGUGGGGUGGGGGGGGGUCGUACCGGCGCUUCAGACAUGAGGACGGGGUGCAGGCCUGGCUCUGACUUGACGUGUUUGCCAUAAGUGUGGUCCAAGAUGGCCUGGAAGCACUCCCAGUCCUCGACUGUGGGGUGAUGUGGGGCAGUGGGGGGGGAUGAGAGGGGUUAACGUGGCCCCAUAAGUAUAGGGGGUGACCCCCGUUCCCAUAGCAUCCCUGUAGGGUGAUCUUAUCACCCCAUAGGGUGAGCCCAGCCCCACAUUGACCCUCUGGGGUGCCCCCGUGACCCCUCAGCAUCACCCCAACCCCACAUUGGCCCCCCGUCAAUCCCCAUAACAUGCUCACCCCACCCCAUAGAGCCACCCCAGC
RNAcentral lists this long non-coding RNA (1182 nucleotides) under Phasianus colchicus (ring-necked pheasant). Its description in RNAcentral is "lncRNA (ENSPCLG00000016773.1)". Lineage: Eukaryota; Metazoa; Chordata; Aves; Galliformes; Phasianidae. The record is from RNAcentral.